RNAcentral lists this ribosomal RNA (508 nucleotides) under uncultured bacterium. Its description in RNAcentral is "partial 16S ribosomal RNA". It matches the Rfam family "Bacterial small subunit ribosomal RNA", at positions 28 to 523 of the family's 1533-position model. The record is from RNAcentral.
GAUGAACGCUAGCUACAGGCUUAACACAUGCAAGUCGAGGGGAAACGAUAGAGAAAGCUUGCUUUUUCUAGGCGUCGACCGGCGCACGGGUGAGUAACGCGUAUCCAACCUGCCCAUCACUUGGGGAUAACCUUGCGAAAGUAAGACUAAUACCCAAUGACGUCCAUAGAAGACAUCUGAAAUGGAUUAAAGAUUUAUCGGUGAUGGAUGGGGAUGCGUCUGAUUAGCUUGUUGGCGAGGUAACGGCCAACCAAGGCGACGAUCAGUAGGGGUUCUGAGAGGAAGGUCCCCCACAUUGGAACUGAGACACGGUCCAAACUCCUACGGGAGGCAGCAGUGAGGAAUAUUGGUCAAUGGACGAGAGUCUGAACCAGCCAAGUAGCGUGCAGGAUGACGGCCCUAUGGGUUGUAAACUGCUUUUAUAAGGGAAUAAAGUGGGAGUCGUGACUCCUUUUGCAUGUACCUUAUGAAUAAGGACCGGCUAAUUCCGUGCCAGCAGCCGCAGUAA